Non-coding RNA from Vicia faba (fava bean), 216 nucleotides. NCBI's taxonomy places the organism in Eukaryota, Viridiplantae, Streptophyta, Magnoliopsida, Fabales, Fabaceae. The record is from the annotation of a GenBank genome assembly.
AUGAGGAUUUAUUUAUUCAAAAGAAUCACCUUCUCCAACUACAUUCCUUCACCCCAAAAAACCCAAAUCAAUCAUGGUAGAAUACUUAAGGCCAAAAAUCACAAAGGGCAUAAAAAAAGGAAAUAUUUUUGGAGGAGGAAUAAGUUUCACAAAUCACAAUGUUUCGAGAUGAAUGGAGGAAGUGGGUCUGGUUUGUUUGGUAUCAAGAGAGAGAAA